This is a non-coding RNA of Triticum aestivum (bread wheat), 124 nucleotides long. The record is from Rfam. Lineage: Eukaryota; Viridiplantae; Streptophyta; Magnoliopsida; Poales; Poaceae.
UAUAUACUCCCUCCGUCCAAAAAUACUUGUCCUUGAAAUGGUUGUAUCUAGACUUAUUUUAGUUAUAAAUACAUUCAUCCUAUCCAUUUUGAGGACAAGUAUUUCCGAAUGGAGGGAGUAGUUG